CUACGGGACGCCGCAGUGGGGAAUAUUGCACAAUGGGCGCAAGCCUGAUGCAGCCAUGCCGCGUGUAUGAAGAAGGCCUUCGGGUUGUAAAGUACUUUCAGCGGGGAGGAAGGGAGUAAAGUUAAUACCUUUGCUCAUUGACGUUACCCGCAGAAGAAGCACCGGCUAACUCCGUGCCAGCAGCCGCGGUAAUACGGAGGGUGCAAGCGUUAAUCGGAAUUACUGGGCGUAAAGCGCACGCUGGCGGGUUGUUAAGUCAGAUGGGAAAUCCCCGGGCUCAACCUGGGAACUGCAUCUGAUACUGGCAAGCUUGAGUCUCGUAGAGGGGGGUAGAAUUCCAGGUGUAGCGGUGAAAUGCGUAGAGAUCUGGAGGAAUACCGGUGGCGAAGGCGGCCCCCUGGACGAAGACUGACGCUCAGGUGCGAAAGCGUGGGGAGCAAACAGGAUUAGAUACCCCAGUAGUC
RNAcentral lists this ribosomal RNA (464 nucleotides) under uncultured bacterium. Its description in RNAcentral is "partial 16S ribosomal RNA". It matches the Rfam family "Bacterial small subunit ribosomal RNA", at positions 339 to 795 of the family's 1533-position model. The record is from RNAcentral.